AAAACAUAUGAAACAACCCAAAGACAAUGUGAGAACUUCCUGCUAGUCCCAUCCUUGUCAACUUAAAAUAUUAGGUAUUUUUAAACAAUUGACAUCUAUAUCUUAAGCAGUUUCAUCCCCAUGGAUCAAGAUCAUGUAAAACUAUUAUUCUUUUAACAAAGUUGAAGCUUAUAGGGGAGGAAACUAGAAUGUAUAUACUUGCACAAGUCUGGAUCUGUCUUUAUGAAUCAUAAAUAUAACUUCAACAAAGAAAUUAUACCCAGCUCUGCUAUGUCAAUGAGUAUGGGGUGGGGGUUCAGGGCAGGGGGAAAACAGGCAUCUUUUUCUCUCAGCCUGAUUGUGUUCCUCACCUGGCAAUAGAGCCUGGCAGAGAACAAGGCUUUGGAGACAGACAUUCCUAGGUUCCAUGUCUUUUUCUGCAACUUAACAGCACUUUAACUUUCAGUAUACUACUUGACUUCUAAACAUCAGACUUCUCAUCUGUAAAAUGGAGUUACUAAUAACAGAAUUUAAACAAGGUGAAAUUUCCUGUGGUCAACAACUUUUAACAAAUACAAAUGGCAGAUUCAUAUGGUUUUACUCAAUUUUAUCUACACCACAGGGAUGUUUGUGAGAAUCAAGUGAGAUUAUAGCAUUAUUUGAAUUUUCUCUCAUCAACAAAACUUUCCUUAUUCAUUCUAUAGUUAAUAUGGAGUCAGGUGGAGAAAUGGAAUCCACAUCUAUAGAGAGCAUUAUAUACGAGUAAGGAGAAGAUGUCAAAUAUUUUACCUUCUCCUAUCAAAUUUUCUAAUUGGAUUUCAUUUAACCACUACUAAGAGAGAUUCUCCUUGUUGAGAUUUUAAAAAGCUAAUGAAGAGUUGCUCUAUCAAUUACUAAGAAGUGGAGAUGUUCAGAACUCAGGCUGUCAGAGCAAAAUAACAAUUAUGUUUCCUCCAUAAAGCUAAAUUAAAUUAUUAAGUCAGCAAUUUUCAAGUUGUGGACUCUGAAGACCCAGGGCUCUAUAAGACAUCACUGGGGAAUCCUUAAAAAGCAAACACAGUCAUUAGAUAAAACAUUUAACUUAGAACAGCCUCUCUUCCUCCUACAUUAAUUGGACUCUACAAUAAGAAGUGGGAUCAGAAACCAAAAAGAACAAGAGACAAAAACAAAACAACUAAAUCUAAGGCAGAAGGAUCCCACAACUUGAGAGCGUUUAAUGGGUUAGGCAGUGACUCCACAGGAUCCUGUCCAAGCAGUAAAUGUUACUUAAACCAGACUUGCUUUCAAAAAUAAUUGGGGUAGAGGAUAAAGAUAAUGAAAGUUUUGAAUCUACUUAGUGUUAGCUACAUCUCAAGUUCUGUAUGUUUUGCUAUAUAGUCUCUCAAUUUGCAAAGCCACUUUCAAUUUUAAAUAGUAUUUCCUCUAGAUUCAGAAAAGUAGACCUGCUACUUCCAUAGUCUGUGUCUGAUCUGUGAAAAAAUUGACAAUCACCAUAAAAUAUUACUAAAAAUAUUUUGGAUUUGGCAAAUGCAAUCACAUUUUUGCCUUCUGAGUGGUUUCUCUGAAUUUUAAUUCCGAGGACAUUUCAGGGAAAAUUUAAUUUUCACUUCUCUGAUUAAUUUGCACUUCGUUUUUCAUAAUAUUUUCUAAGAGCUACUUUAUAGCCAAAAAAAAGAUGAGCUUUUGGUUCUAUGAAUAAGUAAGUCAUAUUUUCCACAAAAUAAAUGGAUCAAAAUUAAUUAAAUGGUGACAUGUUUUUAAGCUCAAAACUCAUAGAAUUGAUACUUGAUAAACUCUUAUACUCAUUCAUCUGUUUAAAGAUCACCUACAAUAUACAAAGCCUAUGCUAUAUAUUAAGUUGAUAUAGAAAAAUGAACAAAGAAAUUGCCCCUAUCUUCACAAAGCUUCCCAUCUCCUGGAGAGGCUUGUGAAACCAAACUAAAACAAAAUGUAAUAAAUAUAAAGGAAAUGGAAUUUUUCAAAGUAAAACGGGAGGUCCAAAGCAUGAAACUGCCAAUCACAGUUAGAAGUGUCAUUUUCCAAGAACAGUUCCUUGGAGAAAAUACCAAUUUAUUUGGGUUUCAAAGGAUGUGUGAAGUUUUAAUAAUGAAACAGGGAAUGAAAGGCAUUACAGACACUGACUAACAUGACAAAAAACAUGAAGGAAUGAGAAUUAUGUUUUGUACUGGAGGAUGAAAAAAGAUUUUGACUGAAAUGGUUGGAGUGAAGGGUACUUGCCAAGAGGGAGAUGUGGCAAUAAAAAGUUGAAGUGGUAGGUUGGUCCAGAUUAUAAAAGAUCUUGAAUGUCUUGCUAAGAAAUUAGAAUUUUUUAAUUUAAAAAAUGGAAUCAUGAAUCAAGACGAUGGAGCAGGAAGACAUGGAGUGCACCUUCUCUGACAAAUACAUUUUAAAAAAAAGUCUACGCGUGGAACAGUUAUCAUGGAAAACCAAUGGAAAACCAGCAGAAGUUCUCCUAUACAACUAGAGCUGCAAGAAAAAUCUUCAUAUAAACAGGUAGGACAGAAAAAAAGGCAUAGAGUCAAGACCUGAAUCCCUGAGAGAGAUUUGAAAGAAAGAGAAGUUCUACAUGGGUGGACUCGUCCUAGGGAGCAAACAGGUCAAGCCCCAAACUGAACAACAGUCCUGGGUUCCUUCUUGGAGGAGACAAGCCCCAUUGGCUGUUGGAAAAACCACUGGGACAGACAUAAGGGCUGGUGAAGCCUAGGCUCUGCUCACGAGGAGUGUGUGCAUGCUAGCUUGCCAACAGUCAAGACAGAAAGAGCCUUGCACUAGCAGAAGCUGCACUUCCCAGUCAGAACAGGGUGAACACCUGAGCCCCACUAACUCCACACCAGAGUCUGCUGAAAGAUCUGGUCCCACUGGGAAAAGGCUGCAAGAUCUGGGAGCCCUGGGAGCUCAGUCUAGUUAUGUAGAGAUAGACCAAGGGAUCUGGAGUGUUAUCCAGGUGGGCUGGCAGUAGCCAGUAUCAGUGUGCACAUGGGGAAGUGCCACAGGAGCACGGAACACCUAAGUGCUGAAUCUCAGGUAGCCCUGAAAGAAGCAGCCUGGAGAUUGUGGGGUGUGACCUGAGUGGGGAAGUGGUGGCCUUUGUCAGUACUCACAUGAUCACACAGUUCCUCUCCCAGCAAUGGUACCCUGGCUCUGCCUACUCCGCACACAGUUUAGUGCUGAAUAUGGGGCAGACAGGUACCAGGACAAGGCUACCACAGAGGCAGCCCAGAUCUCUGGUGGAAGCACAGCCAUCUCAAUUCCUACAGCUACAGUGCCUCAACCCCCAGUUCCAGCCUAUACCACCCCACGGCUUUGCACUGAAAUAAAUACAAUAGAGGAAGGGACACAAUCUUGAACUGCUUCUGAAUGGAGCCACUGAUGCCUCCUAGGCAGCUCAUAGGUUCUGUGAGCUCAAGGGGUCACUUGCUUCAGUAAUCACCUACUUUGGGGCAGAGCAUGCAUUCAAGGGCAACAUAACCCAAUCAAGUCUGACCCUCAUGGCUUCUAUUCCAACAGUUGGGGGGUAGACCCCACCCUUGUCAGAACAGCAACAGCUAUGGAGCAGAAAGGAAGUCUCAUUCUAGGCUCUAGACCCUCCAACACCAACCAUACCCCCUGUCAAGGGGAUAACAGCCAGCACACCCUGAGGAAAGAUGUGGCUAGCGUUCAUAUCAAAAUCAGAUCUUGUACCAAAGACACUGGACACACAGAGUCUACACAAGGAUGCUCCCACAUAAAAAACACCCCUUCAUGGCCACAGUAGUAACUGUUUCCCCUAAAUUCUUACAGACAGAGGAGGUUAAAUAAAAUGAAAAAGCAGAGGAACUACUUCCAAUUAAAAGAGCAAGGAAAGUCCCCCUAAAGAACAAAUAAUGAAAGACCUCACCAGUCUACCAGAUGCUGAAUUCAGAAAGUUAGUAAUAAAAAAUGCUAACUGAAUUAAAUAUUAUUAAUAGAAGACAGAUCAGUAUAACAAGGAACUAGAAGCUGUAGCUAUGAACCAAUGAACAAUGUAUAAUUCAAUUGCCAAGAUAAAAAGCAGUCCAAAAGCAAUGAAUAGCCAACUAAAUGACACAGAAGAACAAAACAAGUGACCUGGAAGAAUCACUUCCAGAAUAGCGGAAACCACCCAAUCAGAACAGUAGACAGAAAAACAAGUGAAAAAAAAAAAAUGAAAGGAACAUAUGAGAUCUAUGGGAUAAUAUAUAACAUGAUAAC
This 4209-nucleotide long non-coding RNA is filed under the name Sus scrofa (pig). Its description in RNAcentral is "lncRNA (ENSSSCG00000062684.1)". The record is from RNAcentral. Lineage: Eukaryota; Metazoa; Chordata; Mammalia; Artiodactyla; Suidae.